AACGGGUGAGUAACACGCGAGUAAUCUGCCCUCCACUUUGGGAUAGCCACCGGAAACGGUGAUUAAUACCGGAUAUGACCUCGCAUCGCAUGGUGUGUGGUGGAGAGUUUUUCGGUGGGGGAUGUGCUCGCGGCCUAUCAGCUUGAUGGUGGGGUAAUGGCCUACCAUGGCCUCGACGGGUAGCCGGCCUGAGAGGGUGACCGGCCACACUGGGACUGAGACACGGCCCAGACUCCUACGGGAGGCAGCAGUGGGGAAUAUUGGACAAUGGGCGGAAGCCUGAUCCAGCAACGCCGCGUGAGGGAUGACGGCCUUCGGGUUGUAAACCUCUUUCAGCACAGACGAAGCGAAAGUGACGGUAUGUGCAGAAGAAGCACCGGCCAACUACGUGCCAGCAGCCGCGGUAAUACGUAGGGUGCGAGCGUUGUCCGGAAUUAUUGGGCGUAAAGGGCUCGUAGGCGGUUUGUCGCGUCGGGAGUGAAAACACACAGCUUAACUGUGUGCUGGCUUCCGAUACGGGCAGACUAGAGGUAUGCAGGGGAGAACGGAAUUCCUGGUGUAGCGGUGAAAUGCGCAGAUAUCAGGAGGAACACCGGUGGCGAAGGCGGUUCUCUGGGCAUUACCUGACGCUGAGGAGCGAAAGUGUGGGGAG
This 652-nucleotide ribosomal RNA is filed under the name uncultured bacterium. RNAcentral's name for it is "bacterial SSU rRNA". It matches the Rfam family "Bacterial small subunit ribosomal RNA", at positions 101 to 768 of the family's 1533-position model. The record is from RNAcentral.